RNAcentral lists this microRNA precursor (117 nucleotides) under Paramuricea clavata. The record is from RNAcentral. Lineage: Eukaryota; Metazoa; Cnidaria; Anthozoa; Malacalcyonacea; Plexauridae.
CUAAAAUUUCUUCCUCAGCUUUAUUUACAACAUUUCACCUUGGCCAUAUAUAUAUAUAUAUAUAUAUAUAUGGCCAAGGUGAAAUGUUGUAAAUAAAGCUGAGGAAGAAAUUUUAGC